GGGUGGGGAUCUUCGGACCUAUCCACCUGGAGAUGAGCCCGCGUGCCAUUAGGUAGUUGGCGGGGUAAUGGCCCACCAAGCCGAAGAUGGCUAGCUGGUCUGAGAGGAUGAUCAGCCACACUGGAACUGAGACACGGUCCAGACUCCUACGGGAGGCAGCAGUGGGGAAUAUUGCGCAAUGGGGAAACCCUGACGCAGCAACGCCGCGUGUGUGAUGAAGGCCUUCGGGUCGUAAAGCACUGUGAGGUGGAACGAGCCGCCGGGGGCUAAUACCCUUCGGCCCGACGGUACCACCAGAGGAAGCACCGGCUAACCCUGUGCCAGCAGCCGCGGUAAUACAGGGGGUGCAAGCGUUGUUCGGAAUUAUUGGGCGUAAAAGCGCGUGUAGGCGGACCAUUAAGUCUGGUGUGAAAUCCCUCGGCUUAACCGAGGACGUGCAUUGGAUACUGGUGGUCUUGAGUCCUGGAGAGGG
Molecule: ribosomal RNA, 472 nt
Filed under: uncultured bacterium
Lineage: Bacteria
Description: bacterial SSU rRNA
Rfam family: Bacterial small subunit ribosomal RNA
Source: RNAcentral